GGGGAUGGCUCAGUGGCACAGUGCCUGCCUAGCAUGCACAAGGUCCUGGGUUCAAUCCCCAGCACCUCCA
This 70-nucleotide transfer RNA is filed under the name Camelus bactrianus (Bactrian camel). It matches the Rfam family "tRNA". From Rfam's summary of the family: Transfer RNA (tRNA) molecules are approximately 80 nucleotides in length. Their secondary structure includes four short double-helical elements and three loops (D, anti-codon, and T loops). Lineage: Eukaryota; Metazoa; Chordata; Mammalia; Artiodactyla; Camelidae. RNAcentral also lists the same sequence under 2 other names. The record is from Rfam by way of RNAcentral.